UACGUAGGGGGCAAGCGUUGUCCGGAUUUAUUGGGCGUAAAGAGCUCGUAGGUGGUUCGGUAAGUCGGAUGUGAAAUCUCCAGGCUCAACCUGGAGGGUCAUUCGAUACUGCCGUGACUAGAGUUCGGUAGGGGAGUGUGGAAUUCCUGGUGGAGCGGUGAAAUGCGCAGAUAUCAGGAAGAACACCCGUGGCGAAAGCGGCUCUCUGGAACGGUACUGACGCUGAGACGCGAAAGCGUGGGGAGCGAACAGG
RNAcentral lists this ribosomal RNA (253 nucleotides) under uncultured bacterium. RNAcentral describes it as "partial 16S ribosomal RNA". It matches the Rfam family "Bacterial small subunit ribosomal RNA", at positions 524 to 776 of the family's 1533-position model. The record is from RNAcentral.